GAAUAUUGCACAAUGGGCGCAAGCCUGAUGCAGCGACGCCGCGUGGGGGAUGACGGCCUUCGGGUUGUAAACCCCUUUCGCCCACGACGAAGCCCUUCGGGGUGACGGUAGCGGGAUAAGAAGCACCGGCCAACUCCGCGCACGCAGCCGCAGUCAUACGUAGGGUGCGCGCGGUGUCCGGAAUUACUGGGCGUAAAGAGCUCGUAGGUGGUUUGGCGCGUCGUCUGUGAAAGUCCAGCGCUUAACGCUGGGAUUGCAGGCGAUACGGGCUUACUUGAGUGCUGUAGGGGAGACUGGAAUUCCUGGUGUAGCGGUGAAAUGCGCAGAUAUCAGGAGGAACACCAAUGGCGAAGGCAGGUCUCUGGGCAGUCACUGACACUGAGGAGCGAAAGCAUGGGUAGCCAACA
RNAcentral lists this ribosomal RNA (407 nucleotides) under uncultured bacterium. Its description in RNAcentral is "partial 16S ribosomal RNA". It matches the Rfam family "Bacterial small subunit ribosomal RNA", at positions 359 to 774 of the family's 1533-position model. The record is from RNAcentral.